RNAcentral lists this ribosomal RNA (368 nucleotides) under uncultured organism. RNAcentral's name for it is "bacterial SSU rRNA". It matches the Rfam family "Bacterial small subunit ribosomal RNA", at positions 526 to 896 of the family's 1533-position model. The record is from RNAcentral.
CGGAGGGUGCAAGCGUUAUCCGGAUUCACUGGGUUUAAAGGGUGCGUAGGCGGGCAUUUAAGUCAGUGGUGAAAUACCUGAGCUUAACUUGGGAACUGCCAUUAAUACUAUUUGUCUUGAAUGUCGUGGAGGUUAGCGGAAUAUGUCAUGUAGCGGUGAAAUGCUUAGAUAUGACAUAGAACACCUAUUGCGAAGGCAGCUAACUACGCGAAUAUUGACGCUGAGGCACGAAAGCGUGGGGAUCAAACAGGAUUAGAUACCCUGGUAGUCCACGCCCUAAACGAUGAUUACUCGACAUUGGCGAUACACUGUCAGUGUCUGAGCGAAAGCAUUAAGUAAUCCACCUGGGAAGUACGACCGCAAGGUUG